AUUGAACGCUGGCGGCAGGCCUAACACAUGCAAGUCGAGCGGAUGAAGGGAGCUUGCUCCUGGAUUCAGCGGCGGACGGGUGAGUAAUGCCUAGGAAUCUGCCUGGUAGUGGGGGAUAACGUCCGGAAACGGGCGCUAAUACCGCAUACGUCCUGAGGGAGAAAGUGGGGGAUCUUCGGACCUCACGCUAUCAGACGAGCCUAGGUCGGAUUAGCUAGUUGGUGGGGUAAAGGCCUACCAAGCCGACGAUCCGUAACUGGUCUGAGAGGAUGAUCAGUCACACUGGAACUGAGACACGGUCCAGACUCCUACGGGAGGCAGCAGUGGGGAAUAUCGGACAAUGGGCGAAAGCCUGAUCCAGCCAUGCCGCGUGUGUGAAGAAGGUCUUCGGAUUGUAAAGCACUUUAAGUUGGGAGGAAGGGCAGUAAGUUAAUACCUUGCUGUUUUGACGUUACCAACAGAAUAAGCACCGGCUAACUUCGUG
This 484-nucleotide ribosomal RNA is filed under the name uncultured bacterium. RNAcentral describes it as "partial 16S ribosomal RNA". It matches the Rfam family "Bacterial small subunit ribosomal RNA", at positions 30 to 507 of the family's 1533-position model. The record is from RNAcentral.